AUAAACGACUAGUUUUUCCAUUUUUCUUAUAAAUAGCCCCCCAUAAUCGAUUAUUAGACACUCCUUUGCACCCAAAUACUGCUGAAAUCAAAUCCAGAGCUCAAAAUCUCUUCAUUUCUCUUCACCUUCUUAAAGUUUCAUUUUCCCAAUCUUCCUCCAUGGCUGAACCAAGAAGGCAUCGUCGCAAGACAGCUGGAGCCUCCUCUUCUUCUCA
RNAcentral lists this long non-coding RNA (214 nucleotides) under Vigna radiata. RNAcentral describes it as "long non-coding RNA (VRAD_LNC002783)". Lineage: Eukaryota; Viridiplantae; Streptophyta; Magnoliopsida; Fabales; Fabaceae. The record is from RNAcentral.